AGUGAACGCUGGCGGUAGGCCUAACACAUGCAAGUCGAACGGCAGCACAGUAAGAGCUUGCUCUUACGGGUGGCGAGUGGCGGACGGGUGAGGAAUACAUCGGAAUCUACUUUUUCGUGGGGGAUAACGUAGGGAAACUUACGCUAAUAUCGCAUACGACCUACGGGUGAAAGCAGGGGAUCUUCGGACCUUGCGCGAUUGAAUGAGCCGAUGUCGGAUUAGCUAGUUGGCGGGGUAAAGGCCCACCAAGGCGACGAUCCGUAGCUGGUCUGAGAGGAGGAUCAGCCACACUGGAACUGAAACACGGUCCAGACUCCUACGGGAGGCAGCAGUGGGGAAUAUUAGACAAUGGGCGCAAACCUGAUCCAGCCAUACCGCGUGGGUGAAGAAGGCCUUCGGGUUGUAAAGCCCUUUUUUUGGGAAAGAAAAGCAGCAGGUUAAUACCCCGCUGUUCUGACGGUACCCAAAGAAUAAGCACCGGCUAACUUCGUG
RNAcentral lists this ribosomal RNA (492 nucleotides) under uncultured bacterium. Its description in RNAcentral is "partial 16S ribosomal RNA". It matches the Rfam family "Bacterial small subunit ribosomal RNA", at positions 29 to 507 of the family's 1533-position model. The record is from RNAcentral.